Molecule: transfer RNA, 76 nt
Filed under: Thiomicrospira sp. ALE5
Lineage: Bacteria; Pseudomonadati; Pseudomonadota; Gammaproteobacteria; Thiotrichales; Piscirickettsiaceae
Description: tRNA_Thr_GGT
Rfam family: tRNA
About the family: Transfer RNA (tRNA) molecules are approximately 80 nucleotides in length. Their secondary structure includes four short double-helical elements and three loops (D, anti-codon, and T loops). Further hydrogen bonds mediate the characteristic L-shaped molecular structure. tRNAs have two regions of fundamental functional importance: the anti-codon, which is responsible for specific mRNA codon recognition, and the 3' end, to which the tRNAs corresponding amino acid is attached (by aminoacyl-tRNA synthetases). tRNAs cope with the degeneracy of the genetic code in two manners: having more than one tRNA (with a specific anti-codon) for a particular amino acid; and 'wobble' base-pairing, i.e. permitting non-standard base-pairing at the 3rd anti-codon position.
Source: RNAcentral
GCUCUCAUAGCUCAGUUGGUAGAGCGCUUCCAUGGUAAGGAAGAGGUCACCAGUUCGAUUCUGGUUGAGAGCUCCA